UUAUUCUUUAGCUAUGAUGUUUUUCAGAUGAAGAUAAAAAAAGUGACCAUGACCUCACAGAACAGGAAACUAGCCCUGCUGAUCGGACAUUUCAGUGAUAUGAAAAGAACGUGUUAGUGUCAGAGCUGGACGUUACGAAGCGACACUCUGUGCUUGUUUGUGAACUUUUAACAUUUAUAAUGACAAAAGUUUUAGGUUUUAUUUUAGUGAUGAAUGCGCUUCUCUGCUGCGGACAUGCUGAAGGCACAAUUCUGACUAUUGAUCCCAACUGGUCGACUUUUCAUCCUGGAGAGAGAGUGACGUUCAUUUGUGACAUGAAUGAAGGCAAAGACACCGACUGGGAAUAUGAGAUAAAAAAAAUGGAGAACAAUUUCUUCACUCCAACCCGCGAAAAAGCUUCACAUUACUACCUAUCCAAAUCGAUCACAGUGAUGAAUACCAGUGCUGUGGACACAGGAAGAGCUCUGGUGAUACCAAGUGCAGUGAUACUGUCUCUUUAACUGUUACUGACCCCAGUGAAGGUGAGAACUAGUAACCCGAACAACAAAAAGCAGGAGAUUGGAGUCCAGCAGCAACAGAUACUCCACAUUAUUUUACGAUCAGAAACAACACUGGACAAUUCUGCUGCCCUGUUUUCAUUAUAUGUUGUGAUGAUUAUUGUAUUUCUGCAGCUUUAAGAUGCCAAAGAUAAUUUAAUUAUGCUAUAUCUCUUCAAGAAUCAGAUGCGCUCUAAUUUUACAUUUUCGCUCAUGUCAUAAAUAGGAUAGGUCGCACAUUCAUAAAUUGAAAUGUUGUAAGAUUCUUGUGAAAUAAAAUUAAAGAUGAAAAUUACAAACUCCGUUCUUUCCUACGUAGCUGGAUUUGUAGCUUUUACAGUUAUGCUAUGUUUGCAAUAAAUACGAAAUUGUCACAGA
Molecule: long non-coding RNA, 914 nt
Organism: Xiphophorus maculatus (southern platyfish)
Lineage: Eukaryota; Metazoa; Chordata; Actinopteri; Cyprinodontiformes; Poeciliidae
Exons: 4
Source: RefSeq, a predicted model, not a curated record